GACCAAAGGGGGGGUCCUUCUGGGCUCUUGCCAUGUAUGUGCCCAGAUGGGAUUAGCUAGUAGGUGGGGUAACGGCUCACCUAGGCGACGAUCCCUAGCUGGUCUGAGAGGAUGACCAGCCACACUGGAACUGAGACACGGUCCAGACUCCUACGGGAGGCAGCAGUGGGGAAUAUUGCACAAUGGGCGCAAGCCUGAUGCAUGCAUGCCGCGUGUGUGAAGAAGGCCUUCGGGUUGUAAAGUACUUUCAGCGGGGAGGAAGGUGUUAAGGUUAAUAACCUUGUCGAUUGACGUUACCCGCAAAAGAGGCACCGGCUAACUCCGUGCCAGCAGCCUCGGUAAUACGGAGGGUGCAAGUAUUAAUCGGAAUUACUGGGCGUAAAGCGCACGCAGGCGGUCUGUAAAGUCGGAUGUGAAAUCCCCGGGCUCAACCUGGGAACUGCAUUCGAAACUGGCAGGCUAGAGUCUUGUAGAGGGGGGUAGAAUUCCAGGUGUAGCGGUGAAAUGCGUAGAGAUCUGGAGGAAUACCGGUGGCGAAGGCGGCCCCCUGGACAAAGACUGACGCUCAUGUGCGAAAGCGUGGGGAGCAAACAGGAUUAUAUACCCUGGUAGUCCACGCCCGUAAACGAUGUCGAUUUGGAGGUUGUGCUCCUUUGAGGCGUGGCUUCCCGGAGCUAACGCGUUAAAUCGACCCGCCUGGGGGAGUACGGCCGCAAGUUUAAACUUCAAAUGAAUUGACGGGGGCCCGCCACAGCGGUGGGAGCAUGUGGUUUAUUCGAUGCACGCGAAGACCUUAACCUUGUCUUGACAUCACAGACUUACCAGAGAUGCAUUGGUGCCCUUCGGGACUGGAGACAGUGCUGCAUGGCUGUCGUCAGUCUGGCUGUGAAAAUGUUGGGUUAAGUCCCGCAACGAGCGCAACCCUUAUCCUUUGUUGCCAGCGGUUCGGCCGGGAACUCAAAGGAGACUGCCAGUGAUAAACUGGAGGAAGGUGGGGAUGACGUCAAGUCAUCAUGGCCCUUACGACCAGGGCUACACACGUGCUACAAUGGCACAUACAAAGAGAAGCGACCUCGCGAGAGCAAGCGGACCUCAUAAAGUAUGUCGUAGUCCGGAUUGGAGUCUGCAACUCGACUCCAUGAAGUCGGAAUCGCUAGUAAUCGUAGAUCAGAAUGCUACGGUGAAUACGUUCCCUGACAGUGUGCUCCCCGCCCAUCACACCAAGGGAGUGCAUACCAAAAAAGUAGGUAGCUAACCUUCGAGAGCGCGCUAGGCACUUUGUGAUGCAUCAGUGACAUGCAUUUAGGCACCGUCAAUACAC
Molecule: ribosomal RNA, 1321 nt
Filed under: Klebsiella quasipneumoniae
Lineage: Bacteria; Pseudomonadati; Pseudomonadota; Gammaproteobacteria; Enterobacterales; Enterobacteriaceae
Description: bacterial SSU rRNA
Rfam family: Bacterial small subunit ribosomal RNA
Source: RNAcentral